GUUUUAUUGGUGCUGGUCCCAGGGUGCAGAAAUGACCCCGUGGCGUGUAAAGAUUCUUUCUGCUUGGCUGUAGAAGAGUACAAGACCCAUAUAUUGUUGUGACUGGGCCAGCAGGCAGACUAGAGAGUGAGCUCCUUAGCACCAGCUUAUCUGCUAACCAGGCACAUGGCUUGGAGCAGCAGACUGACAUGUGUAGGAGUGGAAGGAGAAAGAAAAGGAAAAACUGGCAAAAUAACUGUCAAGGAACGAAGACAGGCUGAAGUUAUUAAUAUAUGACAAACAUCACUAACAGUCUCCGCAUGAUAUCUGACACACUAUGGUUUUCAUAACGUGCUGCUGUGGUACAAAAGAGGCAAUUAAUUGCAAGCUGAAGUAUGUAUUCCCUUGGCUGGAUUUAACUCAACGAGGCAUAAUCAUAUA
Molecule: long non-coding RNA, 420 nt
Organism: Paramormyrops kingsleyae
Lineage: Eukaryota; Metazoa; Chordata; Actinopteri; Osteoglossiformes; Mormyridae
Source: RefSeq, a predicted model, not a curated record